RNAcentral lists this ribosomal RNA (424 nucleotides) under uncultured bacterium. Its description in RNAcentral is "bacterial SSU rRNA". It matches the Rfam family "Bacterial small subunit ribosomal RNA", at positions 355 to 775 of the family's 1533-position model. The record is from RNAcentral.
UGAGGAAUAUUGGUCAAUGGGCGCAAGCCUGAACCAGCCAUCCCGCGUGCAGGAAGACGGCGCUAUGCGUUGUAAACUGCUUUUCCAGGGAGAGAAACUUGCGCACGUGUUGCGCAAUUGACGGUACCCUGGGCAUAAGCAUCGGCUAACUCCGUGCCAGCAGCCGCGGUAAUACGGAGGAUGCGAGCGUUAUCCGGCUUCAUUGGGUUUAAAGGGUGCGUAGGCGGACUAUUAAGUCAGUGGUGAAAUCCUGCAGCUUAACUGCAGAACUGCCAUUGAUACUGAUAGCCUUGAGUUUGGUUAAGGUAGGCGGAAUGUGUAAUGUAGCGGUGAAAUGCUUAGAUAUUACACAGAACACCAAUCGCGUAGGCAGCUUACUGAGCCGACACUGACGCUGAGGCACGAAAGCGUGGGGAUCGAACAG